CAGGAUGACUUCCUCCACUCGGUCGCUGGGGACAAGAAUGACUGCAAUGGAUAGCUAGUCUGUCGUGGAGCUCGGUGAAAAGAGGAGCGCCAUUGGUUCAACCUACGUGGGACAAGCAGGGCAUGUCGGCAUCGUAUGGCCGGUGGCACUGUCUCACUCGUGGCGUGCUAGAGUAGUGGAUGGGUGCAGAAAAUUGGUGGAGAGUUUCCUCACUGCCUGCAUUGCCCCAGCUCGAGGAGGAGGUCCAGCUUGCUUGGCCGAGAAAGAGCGAGUAGCUGCUCCUGCUUGCCAGCCUGCCGCCACCAUGGCUGACACACAUGAGUUCCGGUGCCGCAUACUCGCGUGAAAACUACAAAGUUUGUACAUAGACCAAAGCAUGGCAGCAAAGGACAUAAGGUGUGAUCCGGCGCCAGCCACCAAAGCCUGUGAGGCUGCGACACAUAAUUCAGCUUCAUGUUUUGAUGUUGCUACAAGCACAGCCAAAGUAGUGGAUGGGUGCGGCAAAUUGGUGGAGAAGUUUCCUCAUUGCCUGCGUUGCUGCUUGCACAGCCUUGGCGCGCUAGGAGGUGGCUCAUCUCAUCGACUCGAGAAGGAGCUUGCACCUUCCACCUAGGAAGUCCCAUGCGAGCUACAUUAACAUGCACGUGCGCAGCUUGGCGGGCAUCCUGGCUGAAGCGCCUGGUGUUAAGGAGUCCAAGGAGCACCGCGACCAACCAAAGGGGCAAGCAUGAAAGAACCGAGAUGUGCAAGGCGGAGUCACUCAUCUGCUUGAUCUUGUUACGCAUGUGAAAUUAUCAGUGUGGGUUUCCCUGCAUUUUGUGAUGCGGGAGGGGGCACCUUAAUCCUUUGUCCAUGAAAGCAUGAGGUAAGUUGCAGUCUGUUGCCUCCAAUGCAUUGAAGAAGAGGUGAGAAGUGAAUGAGCUAUUUUCAGAGAUAGCUUCCUUCUUGUUCUGAUAAGUAUGCCUUGAUUUCUAUUUCUAUUUUUGUUGAUAGCAGAGAUGGUUUCUCAUUUCUAUGCUUUUUGUUUGGAUAUUUAGGUACUUGAAUUAUGUUUUAGAUUACUUGACUAGUUUGUCACUGUUUAUUUUGGCAGCCAAAAUAUUUGAUCACUUUCUUUCUCAGUAAAUGUCUUGUAUUUUUUUCUUUCUUUGGACUAGAUCUUAUAGGUUCCAUUAACUAUGACUUAUGUUUGAUUUCAUCCUCUCUCUCUCUGGCAAUUGCUGAAACUCGUGAGGUUUUCGUUUCCAGUAACUAUGGAUUAGGUUUGAUUCCACCUGGCUUUCUAGUUAUUGUUUGUGUUGAAUCAUGCCAUGAUGCGUUUUACACAACAAAUGAACCUCUUUGGAUGGCCCCUCUUUUUCUGCUACUACAACAGAAAUAUUGUGCACCGGAACUAUCCUUGAUAUAUGUUUAUGGGUACAAGUUUCAUUUAUUUCUUCUGACACGUUUUUCUGCAAGUUGCAAGAUAUUCACUUCUUCCAGAUUGUGAUGUACUUGAAUCUGAACUUAUUAUGUGUAAGUUUUCUGCUACUUGUGAUUGUUGUUCCGACGGAAUAAUUCUUCUUUUGUUCUGUUUUUGCUGGAAUGUGAGUUGUGGUCUACUCACUUGAUUUCCUAUAUAAAUAUUGUUUUAUACUAGAACGAUGUCCUUUGUCACAUUUUGGUUAGAGUUCUUCACUCUAAGUGAUUAGAGGAUUCACUAAAUCCUUCAAUCGCUCUGCGGGCAAUUUUCUGAAUAUUAGGGUGUGAGCAUGUGCCUGUUUGCUUCGUGAUGAGUUUGCUAUGGCAUAAACAACAAUUUGUUAGCUAUGCUAUAAACUGAAGUAGACCUAGUACUAGACUAGCAACCUGGCCUUACCUUUAGCUUCUCUUCUAUUGUUCUGCCAAUCUGAAUUUUGGUGAAUGGUUUCAGUUAGACGAAGUGCUCUAGUUGGUCCUUGUAUAUUGCGAUCUUUGACUUGUAAACUGGACUGAUUGGUCCAUAAUUUCGUGGUACUGUCCAAAUAUAAGUUAUAGAUUAUGUUUCAGCCUUUCCAUAGAGUACCAUUUUUGCGCAUAUUGGUUGGACAUAUUACAAACAACGGAGUAUCUUUCAUAGAGUAAUUUUGUGUAUUUACAAUACACAUGUAAACCUGUGUUUCAUUUGCCCUGUUAGUUUGCAUCACAUCUUGUUGGUGGCCAAACAUUUUGAGCGAUGCUCCUGGCAUGUCCAUGUCGCAGUUCCAAAUGUGGGAGUAUAUCCAAUCUAUGGGAGCAAUAGGGCAGCUGAGGUGUGAAAACAGCUAGGUAAAGCUGGAUAGGAAUGCAUGUUGGAAACUUUGGUUUCUUUGGGGCCAUCAGUUUUUACUUUGAAGUAGAGCUUGUUUACUCGGCUGUUUUCUCAUUAAAUGAGGCAAAUAAUAUUGAGGCGAGAAGACUUUCCACAGAUGUGUUGAUAAUGUUAGUCCGAUGAAUGGAGUUUAAUUAUCCUGUGUGGUUUCUUGUAGGUUUCAUCCAUCAACAUGCCACACAUAGAAGAAGCUAGCUGUAGAAGACAUGUCCUCCUACAUCUACUGAGCUGUAGUGGUUUUCGGUGGUGAGCUGCGAGCGGACUAGGGAGGAGCCAUCAUAUUUGUUGAUAUGUGUCUGAGGACCUGCUGGCUGUCGUUCAUCUGCUUGAGAAGUGAGAUAAAACGAGUGUGCAUUACUGCUGCACGGUGUGUAUCUAGUGAAACAACUAUCAACUUGCGUAAAUCAGUGUGUUUUCUGGUCGGUGUGCUCGAGAGUUCCGGUGGCGACCAGUUGAUCCACUAGAUGUAUUUUUUAUUGUAUUUAUACCCACACAAGUAUAAGAAUUGAAGAUCAACCUGUGUAUAACCUUCAGAGAUAAAAAAAAAA
Molecule: long non-coding RNA, 2877 nt
Organism: Lolium rigidum
Lineage: Eukaryota; Viridiplantae; Streptophyta; Magnoliopsida; Poales; Poaceae
Exons: 6
Source: RefSeq, a predicted model, not a curated record